UGGGGAAUUUUCCGCAAUGGGCGAAAGCCUGACGGAGCAAGACCGCGUGGGGGAGGAAGGUUCUUGGAUUGUCAACCCCUUUUCUCAGGGAAGAAGAAAGUGACGGUACCUGAGGAAUCAGCAUCGGCUAACUCCGUG
Molecule: ribosomal RNA, 138 nt
Filed under: uncultured bacterium
Lineage: Bacteria
Description: partial 16S ribosomal RNA
Rfam family: Bacterial small subunit ribosomal RNA
Source: RNAcentral